This 708-nucleotide long non-coding RNA is filed under the name Fukomys damarensis (Damara mole-rat). RNAcentral describes it as "lncRNA (ENSFDAG00000032095.1)". The record is from RNAcentral. Lineage: Eukaryota; Metazoa; Chordata; Mammalia; Rodentia; Bathyergidae.
UGUGGACAAAGAAUAGCACUUCACCUUAGAUUUUGUAUUUCCCUCUUUCUACUUUUCAGAUACCAGGGAAACUCAAAAAUUAAAAUUCACAAGCUCUAACUUGGGAGAGAACAGGCUGAAGUACCUUACCUGUCAUGGAGAACACAGAGACAGCUGAGACUGGUAAUAAAGAAGGACUGCUAUGGGUGAGAUAUUGGAUCUUGCAGAGUGUGAGCCCAUAAUAAUGCGAUCGAUGCUUGGCACCAAGGGGAGAAAAGAAGAUCCAGUGCAUGCCGCUGGAGACCUCACCUUCCCGGCAGGAGAUGGGGGCUUCAUCAGUCAAGCUGUUCAGUUCCAGGCAUGUGGACAGAGAUUGUUAUAACACCGUUCUUCAUCUCAUCUUAUUGAAAGGCUUCUGCACUGCCAGAGAAACCACCAACAGAGGUAAGAGACAACCUACAAUGUUCCUCAGAAAAAGGUCUACUAUCUAGAAUACAUAAAGAACUAACAAAAUCAGACCUGCUAAAGAUAAAGACCAAUUCAAAAAUAUGCAUCUGAAAUGAACAGACACUUCUCACACAAACAAGUAAAAGUAGCAAAUAAAUAUAUGAAAAAAUGUUCAACAUCACUGGUCAUUCAAGAGAUGCAGAUAAAAACAGUGCUGAGAUUCCACCUCACCCCAGAAAGAAUGGCUGCUAUCAAGAAAUAAACCAAUGACAAAUGCUGGCG